CAGUGGAGGCUCGGUGAGAGGACACAGCACAGCCUCAGGACCUCGGACUGAAGGAAAACACACGCUAACACACUGCGGAGGAAAGGCCGUCACACAUCUCUGCUCUCACCUGCGCGUGCACGGACCACGCGAGAGAAAAACACCCUCCUCCUGAUCACGGAUACAAACACACAACCCAGCCAGGAUAUCUGACCCACAGCCCGCCGCGGACACGCAGCCUCGGCAGAUGGUGUGGGAUUUAUUGAUCCGAUCCACGCGCUCACCUGUUCGUCAAAGCGAGGCUGCACAGAAACUCAUGUGUCCUGCACAUCUGGAGCCUGAGCCAUGCUACCCACCAUCCUCAUCACCACAUGUGGAUGUUUUAGUCUCCGUGGAUGGAGAGAGGAGGCGCGGUGUGAAAGUUCAGACUUACCUUUUGCUGUUAGAGCAAACAGUGGAGCCUGUUCCUGUCUUUGGUUAUCUAGCUGUAUGAGUGUUAAUCAUCCAUCAUAAAGCUAGAUAACCGAAAGUAGGAAUGACCUCCAAACGCUCAUCUUCCUGCCUUAAUGAGAAUAAACAAAAAGAAAACACAGGUACAAGAGGACAUCAAGUCUUUGCAGAAAAGGACAAGAGUGAUGCUGCUGCCAUGCUGUGGAGGAUCUUUGCAGCUCGUAUCAGUGUGUUAAUCACAUGGAUUCACGAGCCAAUACAUGGGGUUUGUCUCUGUGCAGCUAGGCUGCAAAUACAGUUUUAGACAUAGUCCAUGAAUAGAAAUAGUCUAAUAUUAAAGUUUUGCAUAAAAACAGCAGGUUUGAAUUUUGAGACAAAAAAAAUCAUAGUAUAUAAUGAUGUUUGAAUAUUAUUUAUUUGCUUUUUAAGAAUAAUUUCUGAAAGAAUUAGUAAAAAUAUGGAUGGAUUUUGACUGAAAUGUGAUCUUUAAUUUAUGAUCCAGCUUUCUCUUGUCAUUGUAAUAUUGACUUUUGGUCUUUGUACUUAAAGUUAAAAUCAAAAUGUUGAAAGGUUGCUGUUUUCAUUCAUGUACACUUUAUUCAAAUGAUGUUAUGGCAUAUGGGCUUAUUAAAGAGGGAUGAAUGACAUGUUUUGCUCUUUACUCAAUAAAA
Epinephelus moara (kelp grouper) is the source of this 1100-nucleotide long non-coding RNA. RefSeq lists it as uncharacterized. The record is from RefSeq and is a predicted model, not a curated record. NCBI's taxonomy places the organism in Eukaryota, Metazoa, Chordata, Actinopteri, Perciformes, Serranidae. The transcript has 3 exons.